RNAcentral lists this long non-coding RNA (1077 nucleotides) under Lynx pardinus (Iberian lynx). Lineage: Eukaryota; Metazoa; Chordata; Mammalia; Carnivora; Felidae. The record is from RNAcentral.
AAAGAUACAUUCUGCUAUCACACUAUUACAAAGAUUAUAAGUGUGUGUGUGUGUGGGUAUAUAGAGAGAGAGCAGAUAAUCAUGAUAUAAAUAAGAUGAUAAAAAAAUCAGGAAAUGUAGAUUUUUACCAAAGGCACUACAAUAGCCGCCCAGAGAUACAAAUAUAAACAGAUUCUUCGCUACUAUGGUAAUUUGUCUAGGUUGGGGGGUGGGGGUGGGGGCAAAAACAAAAACAAAACAGAACAAAAACACAACCCAACCAAUCAAAACGGAAACAAACAAACAAGAAGCAAACCCACAAUAAACCCACCCAAACCUAUACUAGAGUAUGUGGCAAUAAUUAAUAUAUUUCUAUGGAAAAAACUCUCUCAUGCCUUAUAAGCUCCUAAAAUAAAAUCAAGGUCACUAUGUGACUAACGAGAACACUAGGAGGGGAAAAAAAACCACUGAAAGUAAAACAGUCCUCAGCCUCGGUUUCAGCUAGCUCAUCACAUCUGCGCGAAGUACGUAGCAUCAGACCGACAUUCCUGGCCUGGCAGACGAGCCAAUUGUGGUUUUCCACUGGCCACACCACACGCAGCUGAAGAAACAACUGCCUGACGGAGGAAAUGCUGUGACACGAAGCAUCCGAGUUCCAAGUCUGAGUAUUCAGUUAGGGUGAAGGGCGAACGUCUAACUGGGCAAAAGGAAAGGCGUCCAUCGUCCAAACAGGCUCACUUCCCCCAGCCCCCAAAACGAACAGUAGUUAUAGUAGCAAAAGAAACAACACAAGUCUCGAGUCUCUAGGGCCAACUAGGAUAGAGGUCAGCAAUAUAUCAACAGCAGCAACGGACAAGGAAGAGCGAGACAGUGGGUGAGAGAAUCUUGCUGGACGUCUGUUCAUCGUUCUCUGCGUCAGUCACAAGACUGCGACCGGCUGUGCCUGGCAAUUUCGGGCACAUCUCCUCAGAUCCUUCACAGAUUUGGAAUUCGGUCUACCUGAGGGCUCUAUAGCCAUGUGAGAAAGCUUUCUUUGUCGAGCUUGGUGGCGGCCAGCACGGACUCCAUGUCGUUGAGGAUGUCUGAGCUCAGGGCUUC